CCAAUGUAUUGUCCGAGCCACACUAGGAAAACCUAGUGUUUCUGGCUUUCUUCCUCAAGGUGGUCAGCGGCACACAACUCCAGCUACCAUCAAAGAGUUUCCAAUUCUUCUGACAAUGAAGCUUUCUUACUUUCAUGCCUUUCAGAGUUCUGCUGUCCCGCCCACUUUGCGUCCGGCCAUCUGGUCAACCGCUUUUCUGGGGCGAUUAUAAAAGCGGCCGUUGAGCACCUCUGCCGCGCCCAGGAUGGAUUCCUCCUAACUGACGGACGUCGCGUUGACUUGGGGAGAGAUCACGCACAGGAGCGAUCGGGACAUCUCUGCGAAAGCAAGCACACGUCCUCUGUGCCCGCCCCGUGCAGAGAAACUCAACUGGGAUAGCUUUGUUGUGGUGCCGGUGCCGGUGCCGCAGCCAGCGACCAACUUCCCUGAACUAUAGGCAGUGAUAGAAAUGGUAAUGAGUGCGGUGGCGAUGUUGUCCAUGCUGGCGGGAUUGCUGGUGUUAUUGGAGAAGGUUUGGGGGCAGGGGGGCGCGAGGGAGGAGAGGCACAAAAUUGUAACCAACAGACUCUGAGGUCAUCUCGUGGGAAGCAAGGUGACUGUCCAAUGGCCAUGUCGUACACCCAAAAGGGGAAAAAGCAAAGAGUUACUUGUAAUAGUAAUAAUACUAAGUAAAAGUA
Molecule: long non-coding RNA, 677 nt
Organism: Phyllostomus hastatus (greater spear-nosed bat)
Lineage: Eukaryota; Metazoa; Chordata; Mammalia; Chiroptera; Phyllostomidae
Exons: 3
Source: RefSeq, a predicted model, not a curated record